GACGAACGCUGGCGGCGUGCUUAACACAUGCAAGUCGAACGGAAAGGCCCUGCUUUUGUGGGGUGCUCGAGUGGCGAACGGGUGAGUAACACGUGAGUAACCUGCCCUUGACUUUGGGAUAACUUCAGGAAACUGGGGCUAAUACCGGAUAGGAGCUCCUGCUGCAUGGUGGGGGUUGGAAAGUUUCGGCGGUUGGGGAUGGACUCGCGGCUUAUCAGCUUGUUGGUGGGGUAGUGGCUUACCAAGGCUUUGACGGGUAGCCGGCCUGAGAGGGUGACCGGCCACAUUGGGACUGAGAUACGGCCCAGACUCCUACGGGAGGCAGCAGUGGGGAAUAUUACACAAUGGGCGGAAGCCUGAUGCAGCAACGCCGCGUGCGGGAUGACGGCCUUCGGGUUGUAAACCGCUUUCGCCUGUGACGAAGCGUGAGUGACGGUAAUGGGUAAAGAAGCACCGGCUAACUACGU
This 467-nucleotide ribosomal RNA is filed under the name uncultured bacterium. Its description in RNAcentral is "partial 16S ribosomal RNA". It matches the Rfam family "Bacterial small subunit ribosomal RNA", at positions 28 to 506 of the family's 1533-position model. The record is from RNAcentral.